GUGCCAGCCGCCGCGGUAAUACGGAGGGUGCGAACGUUAAUCGGAAUCACUGGGCGUAAAGCGCGCGUAGGCGGUCUGUUAAGUGGGAUGUGAAAUCCCCGGGCUUAACCUGGGAAUUGCAUUUCAAACUGGCCGACUAGAGUACGGUAGAGGGAGGUAGAAUUUCCUGUGUAGCGGUGAAAUGCGUAGAUAUAGGAAGGAAUACCAGUGGCGAAGGCGGCCUCCUGGAUCGAUACUGACGCUGAGGCGCGAAAGCGUGGGGAGCAAACAGGAUUAGAAACCCCUGUAGUCC
RNAcentral lists this ribosomal RNA (292 nucleotides) under uncultured bacterium. RNAcentral describes it as "partial 16S ribosomal RNA". It matches the Rfam family "Bacterial small subunit ribosomal RNA", at positions 505 to 796 of the family's 1533-position model. The record is from RNAcentral.